This 925-nucleotide long non-coding RNA is filed under the name Homo sapiens (human). RNAcentral describes it as "HSALNT0299527". The record is from RNAcentral. Lineage: Eukaryota; Metazoa; Chordata; Mammalia; Primates; Hominidae.
ACUUCCUCUUUCUGUUCAUAAACAUUCUUCCACGACGUGCUGUGCUGGAAUCCCUGAGCCUGCUCUGGCCUGGGAGGCUGCCUGAUUUUACACAAAGAACUCUUGAAUCCCCUUUUAUCAUUUUCUGAACCAUUUGAGAGCAAGCUGCAAUCAUAAGAUCCAGCACCUCUAAACACUCCAGAAUAUAUUUUUAGAUAUAACCCUGUAAUGGCUGAAAAGUGUUCCCCCCAAAUUCACAUCCUCCUGAAACCUCAGAAUGUGACCUUAUUUUGAAAUAGGGUCAUUACAGAUGUAAUGAAGGAUCUCCAAUUGAAUCCGUCCAAGGAUUAAGGUGGGCCCUGAAUCCCAUAGACUGGUGUCCUCAUAAGAAAAGGUGAGGACAAAGAGAGACACAGAGACACACAGAUAGCUAUGUGAAGAUGGAAGCAGAGGUUGGGGAUCUGCUGCCACAAACAAAGGCACCCCAAGUAUUGCCAGCAACCACCAGAAGCAAGGAGAAAGGCAUGGGACGCUUUCUCCAUCAGAGUCUCCGGAAGGAACCAAGCUUACUGACACCUUGAUUUUGGACUUCUAGCCCCCAGAACUUCAAGAUAAUACAUUUCUGUUGUUUAAAGCCAUGUGGUUUGUGGUAAUUUGUUAUGACAGUGCUAGAAAACUUAUACAAACCCUCCAAGGCAGAAAUAAACAUGGGCACAACACUGCUACCCAAUCCACAGAUCCCAUUCAAAUUUUGCUGGCUCAGCCCAUCAUGUCUCUUUUCCCUUUCAGGUCCAGGAUCCAGUCCAGGAGCAUGCAUUACAUUUAGUUGUCACAUGUCCGAAUAGAAGGAAGGAGAUUCCCUUCAAUAUGGAAUAAUUUCUUAGUCUUUCCCUGUCUUCCACAUCCUUCCGUUUUUUGUUUUUGUUUUUAUUUUGAGACAGUCUCA